Molecule: long non-coding RNA, 1431 nt
Filed under: Gossypium barbadense (sea-island cotton)
Lineage: Eukaryota; Viridiplantae; Streptophyta; Magnoliopsida; Malvales; Malvaceae
Description: long non-coding RNA (GBAR_LNC010203)
Source: RNAcentral
GAUAAUUUACAAAUGAAAUAAACUUUUGAAAUUAAAAUGAGGACUAAUGGGAAAUGCGUGUGAACGUGCAAGGAUUAAAAACGCAAUUUUCCAAGUUUCUGAACGCACCAUGUAAACAUGGAUCAAAUCAAAACAGCGCAUAAGUUUCAGGAAAGAAUUAAAAAAACAAAGAAACAUAAAUGGGACCUAAUCUGAUGACGGCAAAACGAGGGGGUACCAAAUGCGCAAUUAACUCAAAUCAACUAAGUGCGCGGAUCCUCCCCAAGUCGGGUCGGUUCACGCGCGGGUUCCUCCAUGCCUUGAACGGCACCGUUUUGAAGCCAUUGAAAUUGGCCCAAAACGACGCCGUCUGAUUGACGUACAAAAGCUAGCAAAUCAGGUAAAAAAAACCUAAGUAUCUCUAGAUGCUCUCAACCUCUUCAUCCGAACGCCGAUUCCGGUGAAAAGAAGGCAAUUGUGGUAGCAACGGACAAGUUUCAAGUGAGAUUUUUGCUCUCUUUCCCCUUUCCCUUUUAUCAUUUCUACAUGCAGUGGAUAAAAAUCAAAGAAAUAGAAUCGAAAAUUAAAAAAUCGAGAUCUGGAAUCAUCUUCUAAAAAAAAUGAUCUAGGAUCCUUUCUCUUUUUUCAAUAUCCGUGUAUACGGAUUGAGGAAAUAGAAACAAAAAUCAAAGAAGAAAACGAUCUAAAAUCCCCUUAAAAACUGAUUUCGAAUUGAUUUUUCUUUCUUUCAAUAUGCGUGUGUAUUUCUGUGAAAAGAGAUCCCUUUUACAUUCGAUUUCAUUGGCUUUUAUAGCCGAAUAAAAAGAAUAAUAAUAAUUAAAAAUACAAAAAAGUUCCCUUAGAUCUAUUUGCUGUCAAUCUGCUGUGAGUUGUUUUCUGUUAUUUUCUUCUCGCAGGUUCGAUUGUACGGAGGAGAACGCUUGUGGGGAUGAUGUGGAUGAGGCUCGGAGGCUCUGCGGAACCGCUCGUGGGAGCCUGACUCCCUGGCGUUGUUCUGGCACGUUCCAGAAGCUUCUGGUGCGUGUGAACUUGGUGGCUUAGGGUUUCUUGAGUGUUUUUUUGUUUUGGGUCAGGAUUUGGGUUAGGGGUUUAUUUUAUUUUGGGCUAAAUAAUUGGGCUUGUAACAGGGACAUUGGACCUAAUUAUUUUAGUUUUAUUUUGGUUUUGGUUCUGGUGUAAGCCCGAGCAGAUUUGGGCCUAUACAGAACUGAUUAAACUAUAAUUUUUUAUUCAAUCAAGUGAUCUGAUCAAAUUCUGGCAACCAUGGCAAGAACUCUUCCUUCUAUCAUGAUUUUUGAAUGCUUCUUGUUGGUUUGGACAUCAAAGUCUAAGCCAUCAUCGUUUGGCAUAUUAAUUUAUAUAGGUUAAAUUUUGCUAUUAGCCAUUAUAUUUUAUGUAAGUUGUGGAUUUGAUCCCAAUAUUUUAAUUUGG